Molecule: transfer RNA, 76 nt
Filed under: Actinobacteria bacterium ADurb.BinA094
Lineage: Bacteria; Bacillati; Actinomycetota
Also listed under: 2 other names
Description: tRNA-Lys
Rfam family: tRNA
About the family: Transfer RNA (tRNA) molecules are approximately 80 nucleotides in length. Their secondary structure includes four short double-helical elements and three loops (D, anti-codon, and T loops).
Source: RNAcentral
GGGCCGCUAGCUCAGUCGGUAGAGCAGGGGACUUUUAAUCCCAAGGUCACAGGUUCGAAUCCUGUGCGGCCCACCA